RNAcentral lists this unclassified non-coding RNA (348 nucleotides) under Mycobacterium intracellulare. RNAcentral describes it as "partial contains 16S-23S intergenic spacer and 23S ribosomal RNA". The record is from RNAcentral. Lineage: Bacteria; Bacillati; Actinomycetota; Actinomycetes; Mycobacteriales; Mycobacteriaceae.
AAGGAGCACCACGAAAAGCACUCCAAUUGGUGGGGUGCGAGCCGUGAGGGGUUCUCGUCUGUAGUGGACGGGAACCGGGUGCACAACAGCAAAUGAUUGCCAGACACACUAUUGGGCCCUGAGACAACACUCGGUCGAUCCGUGUGGAGUCCCUCCAUCUUGGUGGUGGGGUGUGGUGUUUGAGUAUUGGAUAGUGGUUGCGAGCAUCUAGAUGAGCGCAUAGUCCUUUGUGGCUGACGCGUUCAUCGAAAUGUGUAAUUUCUUCUUUGGUUUUUGUGUGUAAGUAAGUGUUUAAGGGCGCAUGGUGGAUGCCUUGGCAUCGAGAGCCGAUGAAGGACGUGGGAGGCU